AGUGAACGCUGGCGGUAGGCCUAACACAUGCAAGUCGAACGGCAGCACAGUAAGAGCUUGCUCUUACGGGUGGCGAGUGGCGGACGGGUGAGGAAUACAUCGGAAUCUACUUUUUCGUGGGGGAUAACGUAGGGAAACUUACGCUAAUACCGCAUACGACCUACGGGUGAAAGCAGGGGAUCUUCGGACCUUGCGCGAUUGAAUGAGCCGAUGUCGGAUUAGCUAGUUGGCGGGGUAAAGGCCCACCAAGGCGACGAUCCGUAGCUGGACUGAGAGGAUGAUCGGCCACACUGGAACUGAGACACGGUCCAGACUCCUACGGGAGGCAGCAGUGGGGAAUAUUGGACAAUGGGCGCAAGCCUGAUCCAGCCAUACCGCGUGAGUGAAGAAGGCCUUCGGGUUGUAAAGCCCUUUUGUUGGGAAAGAAAAGCAGCAGGUUAAUACCCCGCUGUUCUGACGGUACCCAAAGAAUAAGCACCGGCUAACUUCGUG
This 492-nucleotide ribosomal RNA is filed under the name uncultured bacterium. Its description in RNAcentral is "partial 16S ribosomal RNA". It matches the Rfam family "Bacterial small subunit ribosomal RNA", at positions 29 to 507 of the family's 1533-position model. The record is from RNAcentral.